GAGCUCAGGCUGAAAAUCCCUCGGGAGUUGUAGUCUGUAGGCGUAGCACUGCACCGGAAGCGGACGCAAGUUCCCACGAGUGGGACUGCCAAGGAGGGUGAUAGCCCCGUACCGUCCGUGAAAGGGUCACAGUGCAUCGCCGACGAGUCGGGAUGCUUGGGAAUGCAUUCCUAAGUGGGUGGUAUGUCCCAUCUAAAGCUAAAUACGGGCAAGAGACCGAUAGCGAACAAGUACUGUGAAGGAAAGAUGAAAAGCACUUUGAAAAGAAGGUUAAAAGAGCUUGAAAUUGCUGAAAGGGAAGUGAUUGGCUCCAGUACGGCCUCUGAGGCGUUUACGCCGAGGCUGGCCGGUCAGCAUCGGCUGACGCUGUGCGAGAGCGCUCAAGCAAGGUGGCCCGCUCCGGCGGGUGUUAUAGGCUUGGGUACGCGGCGCGGUGUCGGCCGAGGGAAGCGCCCCACUUACGACUAUAGACCAACCGUCCGUCCCAUCCGUGCUUGCACGGUAAGGCGCCGGAGAACUCGAACUGUCGCGUGGGGCGAAGAUGCUGACGAAAUGGGGUCAAUCAGCCCGUCUUGAAACACGGACCAAGGAGUCUGACAUAUGUGCGAGUACUCCGGUGGAAAACCGCAGUGCGCAAUGAAAGUACAUCGAUGGGACCUUCGGGGCACCAUCGGCCGGUUUGCGGGCCACGGUCCGCGGGCUGCGUCAGAGCAGAUAUGUUGGGACCCGAAAGAUGGUGAACUAUGCCUGGGUAGGGCGAAGCCAGGGGAAACCCUGGUGGAGGCUCGAAGCGAUUCUGACGUGCAAAUCGAUCGUCAAACCUGGGUAUAGGGGCGAAAGACUAAUCGAACCAUCUAGUAGCUGGUUCCCUCCGAAAUUUCCCUUAGGAUAGCUGCAACUGUAUCCAGUUUUAUCAGGUAAAGCGAAUGAUUAGAGGAUUCUGGGGCGGAAUGCCCUGGACCUAUUCUCAAACUUUAAAUGGGUAAGAAGGACGGCCUUACUUUGAUGAAGGCCGACCGCGAAUGGAAGUUGUUAGUGGGCCAUAGCAGGUAAGCUGCUACGGCGAUGCGGGAUGAACCGAACGUGGUGUUAAAGCGCCGGACUGUCCGCUCAUCAGAUCCCACAAAAGGUGUUGGUUCAUUUAGACAGCAGGACGGUGGCCAUGGAAGUUGGAAUCCGCUAAGGAGUGUGUAACAACUCACCUGCCGAAUGAAUUAGCCCUGAAAAUGGAUGGCGCUGUAGCGGGCGGCUUAUACACCACCACCGGGCCAGGAUGGACGGCCCGGUGAGUAGGAGGGCGUGGCGCUCGCGGAGACGGCUUGGGCGUGAGCCCGGCUCGAGCGGGCGCUAGUGCAGAUCUUGGUGGUAGUAGCAAAUAUUCAAAUGAGAACUUUGAAGGCCGAAGUGGAGAAAGGUUUGGUGGGAACAGCAGUUGGCCAUCAGUGAGCCGCUCCUAAGAGAUAGGGUAAUGCCGUUCGGAAGUGGGCGUCUCGCACGCCCCGCCUAUCGAAAGGGAACCAGGUUUAUAUUCCUGGGCCACGUAGGAGACAGGUGGCAACACGCACGAGCUAGGAGACGUCGGAGGGAGCCCCGGGGAGAGUUCUCUUUUCUUGUUAACAGCUUAUUUCCCUGGAAUCGGUUCGCCCGGAGAUAGGGGUGUAUGGCUGGAAUAGCUGUCGCGCUUAGCGAUGGUCCGGUGCGCUCUCGACGGCCCUUGAAAACCCUAGCGAGGUACCUUGUGUUAGUCUCACGCGUGGGCGUACUCAUAACCGCAUCAGGUCUCCAAGGUUAGCAGCCUCUGGUCGAUAGAA
RNAcentral lists this ribosomal RNA (1811 nucleotides) under Cafeteria roenbergensis. RNAcentral's name for it is "partial large subunit ribosomal RNA". It matches the Rfam family "Eukaryotic large subunit ribosomal RNA", at positions 104 to 1895 of the family's 3401-position model. Lineage: Eukaryota; Bigyra; Bicosoecida; Cafeteriaceae. The record is from RNAcentral.